AAAGGUAUAGCUCAGUGGUAGAGCUCAUGCUUAGCAUGUGUAGCGUCAUGGGUUCAAUCCCCAGUACCUCCA
Molecule: transfer RNA, 72 nt
Filed under: Camelus bactrianus (Bactrian camel)
Lineage: Eukaryota; Metazoa; Chordata; Mammalia; Artiodactyla; Camelidae
Also listed under: 2 other names
Rfam family: tRNA
About the family: Transfer RNA (tRNA) molecules are approximately 80 nucleotides in length. Their secondary structure includes four short double-helical elements and three loops (D, anti-codon, and T loops). Further hydrogen bonds mediate the characteristic L-shaped molecular structure. tRNAs have two regions of fundamental functional importance: the anti-codon, which is responsible for specific mRNA codon recognition, and the 3' end, to which the tRNAs corresponding amino acid is attached (by aminoacyl-tRNA synthetases). tRNAs cope with the degeneracy of the genetic code in two manners: having more than one tRNA (with a specific anti-codon) for a particular amino acid; and 'wobble' base-pairing, i.e. permitting non-standard base-pairing at the 3rd anti-codon position.
Source: Rfam by way of RNAcentral